UCGGUUCCGGUUCACGCCGCUGCCUCCCAGGACGGGAGGGCGACCCGGGGCC
Molecule: non-coding RNA, 52 nt
Filed under: unclassified sequences
Description: L31-Actinobacteria ribosomal protein leader
Rfam family: L31-Actinobacteria ribosomal protein leader
Source: RNAcentral